RNAcentral lists this transfer RNA (85 nucleotides) under Felis catus (domestic cat). It matches the Rfam family "tRNA". From Rfam's summary of the family: Transfer RNA (tRNA) molecules are approximately 80 nucleotides in length. The record is from Rfam by way of RNAcentral. Lineage: Eukaryota; Metazoa; Chordata; Mammalia; Carnivora; Felidae.
GCCUGGGUGGCUCAGUCGGUUGAGCGUCUGACUUCAGCUCAGGUCACAAUCUUGCGGUCCAUGAGUUCGAGCCCCACGUCAGGCU